Molecule: long non-coding RNA, 3638 nt
Organism: Hylaeus volcanicus
Lineage: Eukaryota; Metazoa; Arthropoda; Insecta; Hymenoptera; Colletidae
Exons: 5
Source: RefSeq, a predicted model, not a curated record
CCCAGAUAUCGGUGCUUCGAUGGUACCGGCUAGCAGAGCGCAGCCAGUGGCGAACAGCGCUGUCUAUCGGAAGCCGCACAGCUCUUCAGUUCAUCGACUGUCGUCGUGCGGUGCGCUAACUCGCAAAGGUGCACACCGUGUUCUCCGAGUUACUCCGUGUGGAUCGCAUCAUCCGCUUCGCGAUCACGAGCAUCGGGCACGGAGAGUACCACGACACGCGCACCAGGUGUUCCUAUCGUGUUGAUAAGGUGGUCAGUGAGUGACAGUGGCGAGAUUCCCGCGUAGAAGUGUCAUGUGAAGCAUUUCGUACGGGGUGGCUUUUGGUUUGUUUCUUUUUAGUCUGACGAUGAGAAAUUUUAAGGACAGGAAUACGGAACCCCAGGUUGAUAAAAAAUGAGAUUUCUGGUACUCUUUCCUGUUUAAAUUUAAUCGAUGUUCAAUCGUAAGCUGCUAGAAAAAUUGGAGUCUCGAGAUUUAUGUUCGUUGAUUUCUUUAAUAAAAGUAAUAAUAACAAGAAUAAUAAUUAAAUCUGAACUUGACAAAUUCUAAAUUGAGUAUUUCUUCGAUCUGAAAGUCGAUAGAGACUUUUCAUUUUGGGAAAUAACUAAAGCCGUUUUCUUUUACAUGAAUAUGAUUAUGUUACUAUUUUUGUUGGACACCGUCUGCUACGCUUUCCGCACACUUUAGCAGAGUAAUUUCUCUUGAGCAAACUAUAUCAGAUUGCAUAAUGACUGCUAAGCAUGGAGACGUUUGUUCAUAGUUAGAUCAUUGGGUGCCGGAUUCUGGUUAUACCUGCCCGAUGGAAAUCGGAGCGGAAAGAGUGUCAAAGAAAUUACCUAAGUAGCCAGAAAAUUCUAUGUAUGAGUUACUCUAAUUGCGAGAAUUAAGAAAUAAAGAAAUACUAGGAUUGCUUCGAUCUAUAAAGACAAAGAUAACUGUCUCUGUUAACAGUGACAUCCCAUUAUGGUAUGUCAUCGUCUUCAUCUCACUUUGAUUGAUUUAUGCCAUUUGUCAAUUAAAAUUAUUGUUUGCCGAAUUCGUAAGUAGUAAGAAAAUAUGCAAUUAAAUGAUUGUAAAAUUCUAGUCUAUUCUUAGUUGCAGGAAAUUAAACUGGAUUCAUUUAUUGUAUAUUUCCGUGUUUAUUCGUUAGGACGAAUAGUAAAUUCUUCCUUAUCUACUGUGAUUGCUUGAUAAAAAUCCGUGUUUAUCUGUGUGGCUGAAAUGGGAAGUUUUUUCUAAUUUAUUCUGGAUUUCAGAUUUAAUUAAAAUGCAAAGAUAAUUUUAACACGUGAGAAUAUGUAAAUAUGACUUUAAUAAUAAUUAAAUAGAAUAAAAGAAUAUUUACUUUCCGUAGAAGUAAUGUACCUUCAAAGCCUCGUUACAUAAAAAUAAAACAUGAAUGCUUCCUUCUGGAGGUCCUUCGAGAGGGUUGGAAGAGUGUCGUAAAAACUCAGAUCAUAAAUGCCUUAUUGCUAUCUAGCUUCCUUGCCAACUGUUUGAAUUACUAUGUAUUUUGCCAUAUCUGUUGCAUAUGCAGACAUAAAUUAUUCAAAUGAAAUGAUGGCCAACUCUGUUCGUGAGUCAACUUUCGAAGGACUCUCGUUACUAUUUUUCCACGGGACUCCGAAUUCAGUCUAUUCUCACGCCGGCGAGGUAGUGCUAGUCGCAUUGUCCGUAACUAUCGCUUUCCGUCCUUAAACAGAGGAACUCGUGAAACGAGUGCUUCUCUUUGUUACUCGUCAUUCGAUUACAGAUUAUUAUCUUCGAAAGCAAGCGCUACGUGCGAAGGAUUAUAACAGUAACCGUAUGGUAGCGUGAAAUCAGCAAACGGUCUAGUAAUUAAUAGUGCAUGACCUGGAUAGUAAAUCGUCUGGAUGAUACUUAGUAAUACAUCUGUCCUCUAAUUCGAAUAAAAGAAUUACAUUUAACUGUGUUUGAUCAACUUUGAAGGUACAUAGAGACAGAAUUUUUGUCGUAUGUGUCCUGAAAGUGGCUUUGGGCCUUAAUAAUUUAAGAAAUAAAUAUUGUCUUCUAAUAUUAUUAUGUCAGUAUAAAAUUAAAGAUAAAUAACAAUUUUCUGCCUAGACAAAAUGUUCCAUAAGAACCCAUUGCUAGAGAUAUUAAGAAGACCAUAUUUCGGAUACAUAGACAGAUAGUAUCGAUGAUAAUAAUCAGUGUUGAUGUGUGUAUAUGAAUGUUGGUCAACACACAGGUCGGUCGAAGAUGGUACUCGUGAUACAUUCCUGCUAAAAACAUUGUCGAUGAAACGGUUACUGAUGAUUCCAAGUAGACCCCAUACUGACUCCAUAUUUUCUAUUAGAAUGACUUGCCAUGCAGCAUCCCUGAAGAGGUUGAUUCAAGAAAGUGCCAAUGUCUAUGCAGCAGAGCGUGCUCCACACAUUUUGAAGGAGAUCGGGGUACGGUGAAUGAACUGGCCUACACAGAGCCCAGACCUGAAUUCCAUUGAGAAUCUUUGGAAUAUGUUAUGAUGAUGCCUUCGAGCAAGAAAUUAUAUGCCACGAAACUUCAGAGAGGUGAAUGGUAAAUCCAGCUACCUGGACCAUGAACAGAGAGAGAUAGAUGAAAUUCUCAUCUAAAUAAAAAUGUUUAAAAACGAAUGAAUAACAGAUUACUCGAGUAAAUUUAAAACUGUAAACAGAAUUCCUACUCGUACGUAUAUUAUUCGAUUAUAAUUCGGUCCAACUCUGACCUUGAAGAGAUGGUAAAUUCGAAUCAGAAUACGCUUCGAAAUAGUCACUAGCUGCGGGACACAAUUUUGGAGCGUAGACAUUAAACGAGAAUUGUUUGGAGCGGUUUCAGGUUGCGGGAAAUUAUUGUGUAUUUUAUGAAAUUUAACAAAAUUAUAGUUAUUAAAUUUAACAUUUGAGAAAACUGUAAAUUUACAUAUUUGUUGAGCUAAAUUAUACAGAAUGUGUUCAAAAAGUUUUCUUGUAAAGACAUCUACUAGCUCUGCAGAUUCAGCCACUUACUGUUCAGUAAUUAAUUAGUUAACUACUGUUAAUUACUUCGUGAAAAGAUAAGUAACCAAAGCAUAAUUUCAUAUUUGAAAGGAAAAAUAAAUUUCAUGUAGUGGUAUAUUAAGGAAAUUAGUCAGGAAUGCAAGUGCUCGUUCAAAUAUUUUCUCGCUCUUAAAAUACACACACUUGUUGCAAUUAUUAUGAAAAUAUAAGUCUAUAGAAAUUUUCUGAAAAUUAGUGCGGUUACUAAUUAACACAUUCCGGUAGAUGUAACCUUACAAAUCAAAGUGAAUAAAUAAAGUAACACAUAUUAAUGGUAAUUUGCUUGCUGACAUUUAAAAAAACAACUCGUAUUUAUUGACAUUAAGUAUCUUUUCCGCGUAUCAAGUGUUAUAUAAAUCGUCUAUACUUUCUUUCAUGAAACAAAAACUUGUUUACGUUAUGAACGCGUAUUCAUGAAAUAAAAAUAAAAAUAUAUAAACACAAAAAGAUUGACACUAAUGUCAGUUAAUGUCACUAAUGUCAAUACUAACCGAGCAAUUUUGUAACAUUUUAAGUGACAAAAAUUAAUUUAUACUUCAACAAUAAUGCCUAACGUGACGUUGAAAUAAAAUAAAUGAUAAUCAAUGAAAGUAAGCAAAAUAAUUUCUAGAUCAUUAC